GCCAGGCGCAGUAGGGCACACCUGUAAUUCCAGCAGCUUGGGAGGCUGAGGCAGGAGGAUCACGAGUUCAAAGCUAGUCUCAGCAACUUAGUGAGACCCCGUCUCUA
Molecule: small RNA, 107 nt
Filed under: Marmota monax (woodchuck)
Lineage: Eukaryota; Metazoa; Chordata; Mammalia; Rodentia; Sciuridae
Source: RNAcentral